This 37-nucleotide ribosomal RNA is filed under the name Messastrum gracile. RNAcentral describes it as "partial 28S ribosomal RNA". The record is from RNAcentral. Lineage: Eukaryota; Viridiplantae; Chlorophyta; Chlorophyceae; Sphaeropleales; Selenastraceae.
GGACCUGAGCUCAGGCAAGAUUACGGACUGAACUUAA